Long non-coding RNA from Herpailurus yagouaroundi (jaguarundi), 669 nucleotides. RefSeq lists it as uncharacterized. The record is from RefSeq and is a predicted model, not a curated record. NCBI's taxonomy places the organism in Eukaryota, Metazoa, Chordata, Mammalia, Carnivora, Felidae. The transcript has 3 exons.
GGACAUAUUAUGAGCAUAGCCACUGUCUGUGAUGGAUACAGAUGAAUUCUCUCCUCCUGUGGCCUCCAAGGGAUUGCUGAAGAAAAUAUUGAGAAACUACUUUGGGUUUAACUCAGACAAAAGAUUUUCCUACAAAAGACCUACAGGUAUUGAUCCCAAGAGUUUUCUAAAAAUCCCCUGGAGGGGUAAUCUCUGUAUCAUUCUUUCUCUCAGGGAAUUAGACCUUUGAGAGAAGACUUUCUGGGAGAAAUGAUAUUCAAGCUGAGAACUAAAGUAGCUGUCUAGAAGAUAGGUGUGCUCAUUUGAUUUGAAAAUAGCCUCAAGGAAGCAUGAAUAGCAUGAGAUCAAGAGUCAUGAGCUCAUCAGAUUCACAGGCAGUUCCUCUUUCCAGAUUUGCAGCAUGACUAAUGGUUGGGAUAGUUGAGAAUAGUCCUACCUCUUCCUUAACUAUAUUCUUAAUAAUUAUCUCACUACUGAUACAAAGCAGAAAUAUCUGCUGAGUUUAUGUGUAGGAUAUUAAAUUUAAAAACCUAGUUGAAACAUUUUUGCAAGAAGGAAACUAGAAUGAAAGUAUCUAGCAGGGCAACUGGUUUAUAAUUGAAGAUAGUUUUUCUUCAUAAAGAUGACAGAGACAACCCUUUAUUCUGAAGGAUUAGUUGGAUAGUUUGA